Molecule: long non-coding RNA, 815 nt
Organism: Pyrus x bretschneideri (Chinese white pear)
Lineage: Eukaryota; Viridiplantae; Streptophyta; Magnoliopsida; Rosales; Rosaceae
Exons: 2
Source: RefSeq, a predicted model, not a curated record
UAGCUAAUUUAUUCUUUUUCAUCAAACCUCUCUCACAAUAACUUUCGAAGCAUGAAACUUUAUGAUUCGCUAAGAGAGAGAUUCGAACUUAAAAUAUCUUCCGACAUUAAAGAGAUAUUCAUACGACUAUACUGGGAGCUAGUUAUGUCAGAACACAACACGAUCGACCACAGCCACAGUCGAAUCGCAAAUCCCCCCCGCCCAAUUUGUGUUUACGUAUAAUUGAUGACUAAGUACUGCCCUCUUGUAUGGCACAGACGAAUUUUUUCAAACACCUUAAGCAUAAGGAUGUAUAUGAUAUGAUGAACAAAUCAAGCAGAAAAGGCCAUCAAAGAAUGCAUGAAGUUCAGCAUUUAAGGAUUUCCCUGAGAGCAAAACCAGUCUACGGUAACGGCGUCUACCUUAGGCGCCCCCGUCCCACCAAGGGUGCAGCAAGCUCUCUACUAGCUAAGCCCCCCACUUUCUUCCUGUCCGCAGUGCUCAGGCAUGUUGCUGUUGGAUUGAUCAUCUUUGCUCUGUAUUAAUCGCUUGAGGUAAUUUUGCAAACGUGAUUUAGGACGCGAUCGAUGUGGAAGUUUUGCAUGAAACUUUCGCUGUUAAACCCGGCGUUUAAAUCCGUUUCCGAAACCUGCUUCUUAUUUGUAAAUUAGAAUGUCUGCGCCGCCAUCCUACCGGCUGUAUGUUAAUCUUAAUUUUGUGUUCAUUCUUUCAAUUGUGAUGUAUCAAUAUAUAUGUAUAUGCUAUUGGUAUCAUCAACCCCACAUAAAUUUGUACGUUGUUUCCUAGAAAAGAAUAUAGAAACUUCAUGUUCCUGA